Molecule: ribosomal RNA, 431 nt
Filed under: uncultured bacterium
Lineage: Bacteria
Description: partial 16S ribosomal RNA
Rfam family: Bacterial small subunit ribosomal RNA
Source: RNAcentral
AACGAACGCUGGCGGCAUGCCUAACACAUGCAAGUCGAACGAGACCUUCGGGUCUAGUGGCGCACGGGUGCGUAACGCGUGGGAACCUGCCCUUAGGUUCGGAAUAACUCCCCGAAAGGGGUGCUAAUACCGGAUAAUUUCUUCGGACCAAAGAUUUAUCGCCUUUGGAUGGGCCCGCGUUGGAUUAGCUAGUUGGUAGGGUAAAAGCCUACCAAGGCGACGAUCCAUAGCUGGUCUGAGAGGAUGAUCAGCCACACUGGGGCUGAGACACGGCCCAGACUUCUACGGGAGGCAGAAGUGGGGAAUAUUGGACACUGGGCGAAAGCCUGAUCCAGCAAUGCCGCGUGAGUGAUGAAGGCCUUAGGGUUGUAAAGCUCUUUUACCCGGGAUGAUAAUGACAGUACCGGGAGAAUAAGCUCCGGCUAACUCCG